This 63-nucleotide transfer RNA is filed under the name Erpobdella octoculata. RNAcentral describes it as "tRNA-Trp". Lineage: Eukaryota; Metazoa; Annelida; Clitellata; Hirudinida; Erpobdellidae. The record is from RNAcentral.
AAGAGUUUAAGUUAAUCAAACUAUUAGCCUUCAAAGCUAACAAUAGAUCUUAUCUAUCUCUUG